GUGAAUAACUCGGACAGUGGCACACCAAACUCCAUCACAUUCUGCCUUUUUACCCAAAAAGAGAGCAACGCUGUACCCUCACAACCUUUCAACACUUGAGUGGCUAACCAUCAACCAAAUAGACUGAUCAGCAGUUUGCAUGUUUAUUCUGCUCUGAUUUAUUUCAUCAGUGUAUCACCUAUUGAUAAAAAGAAGAGAAGAAACACUCUUGGUUACACCUCCUCCCUCCUUAAAUAGCAGUUAGUGUAAUUGAUGCCAAGUUAAUCACUGUGCUGCCAAGAGAAGU
This 286-nucleotide long non-coding RNA is filed under the name Piliocolobus tephrosceles (Ugandan red Colobus). Its description in RNAcentral is "lncRNA (ENSPTEG00000026927.1)". The record is from RNAcentral. Lineage: Eukaryota; Metazoa; Chordata; Mammalia; Primates; Cercopithecidae.